GACGAACGCUGGCGGCGUGCCUAAUACAUGCAAGUUGAGCGCUGAAGGUUGGUACUUGUACCAACUGGAUGAGCAGCGAACGGGUGAGUAACGCGUGGGGAAUCUGCCUUUGAGCGGGGGACAACAUUUGGAAACGAACGCUAAUACCGCAUAAAAACUUUAAACACAAGUUUUAAGUUUGAAAGAUGCAAUUGCAUCACUCAAAGAUGAUCCCGCGUUGUAUUAGCUAGUUGGUGAGGUAAAGGCUCACCAAGGCGAUGAUACAUAGCCGACCUGAGAGGGUGCUCGGCCACAUUGGGACUGGGACACGGCCCAAACUCCUACGGGAGGCAGCAGUAGGGAAUCUUCGGCAAUGGACGAAAGUCUGACCGAGCAACGCCGCGUGAGUGAAGAAGGUUUUCGGAUCGUAAAACUCUGUUGGUAGAGAAGAACGUUGGUGAGAGUGGAAAGCUCAUCAAGUGACGGUAACUACACAGAAAGGGACGGCUAACUACGUG
This 497-nucleotide ribosomal RNA is filed under the name uncultured bacterium. RNAcentral describes it as "partial 16S ribosomal RNA". It matches the Rfam family "Bacterial small subunit ribosomal RNA", at positions 28 to 507 of the family's 1533-position model. The record is from RNAcentral.